This is a long non-coding RNA of Cloeon dipterum, 568 nucleotides long. RefSeq lists it as uncharacterized. The transcript has 4 exons. Lineage: Eukaryota; Metazoa; Arthropoda; Insecta; Ephemeroptera; Baetidae. The record is from RefSeq and is a predicted model, not a curated record.
AAUGCAACCGUAUUUGAAACUGUCGCACAAGCCAAAAGACGCGUUUGAUGCGUACAUCCGAUCAAUUGAGAAAGAUCCGUCAGCGAUUUGGCAACAAGUUAGGGAUGCGGUUGAGUCAGUCUAUUUAACGCGAUUAGAUGCAAUACUUCCUUACGUGUACAAGUACAAGCACAUAAAUAAUUUUUUUGAACUUCUUCGGUUCGAUUUCAUCUUGGAUGAAAAUUUCAAGGUGUACUUAUUGGAGGCUAACAUGUCUCCUAAUCUGUCGUCUGUGAAAAACUCAGAAAACGGAAUUCGUCAUGACCAAACUUUAUUCAGCACUCUUUCUCUUGUUGGAAUUUCCAACUUCUUCACGCCUUUAUUCCAAAAUGAAAAUCGAUCGAGAGAAAUGGAGGUGUCCAAAAGGAAUAUUAUGGUUUAUCCAGAGCAUUGCUUGAAAUGCACAGACUGCAGCUCUAUUAAUUGUCAACUGUGCGAGCCUUGCAUGACAGAAGAGCUGCUCAACGACAUAAAAGCCACAUACAGGGAGCAUAAAAAUAAGUACAGGUUUAAACGGCUGUUUCCUCCU